RNAcentral lists this ribosomal RNA (1259 nucleotides) under metagenome. Its description in RNAcentral is "bacterial SSU rRNA". It matches the Rfam family "Eukaryotic small subunit ribosomal RNA", at positions 685 to 1799 of the family's 1831-position model. The record is from RNAcentral.
UCUCUCCUUGAUUGGUGGUAGAAGCGCUUCCGCAUUCAACACAUGCAUAUGCCCCUGUCCGUGGAGGUUACUGUGAACAAAACAGCGUGUCCAAAGCAACCACAUGUCUGGCUGAAUGAUCUAGCAUGGAAUAACAAGGCAUCGACCACUGGAGUCAGCCUUUUUGUUGGUUUUACAUGACCCAGUUGGGCAAUGCAGGGCUUGUGCUUCAUUGAGGUUCUUAGUCAGCUCUACCGAACUGUCUUCCCUCAGUUGGACCUUGUUCCCUAUCGGGAUCAAUGGAAGCCAUCGGGGUGGUAUGUAUUCCGACGUGAGCGGUGAAAUGCUUAGACCGUUGGAAGACAAACGACAGCGAAGGCAUUCCGCCAGAAUGUUUCCAUUAAUCAAGAACGAGAGUGUGGGGAUCGAAGAUGAUCAGAUACCAUCGUAGUCCAUUACCGUAAACUAUGCCAACUCGGCAUUGGGAGUCUGUUCACUUUGAAGACUCUCCCAGCAUCAUCCCCCAAUAACGAGAAAUCCAAGUCUAUGGGUUCAGGGGGGAGUACAGUCGCAAGGCUGAAACUUAAAGGAAUUGACGGAAUGACACCACAAGGCGUGGAGUAUGCGGCUUAAUUUGACCCAACACGGGGAAGCUUACCAGGUCAGACACAGUAAGGAUUGACAGAUUGAGAGCUCUUUCUUGAUCCUAUGGAUGGUGGUGCAUGGUCGUUUCUGGUUCGUGGAGUGAUCUGUCUGCUUAAUUGCGAUAACGAACGAGAUCUCUACCUCUAAAUAGGCGCCGGUCUCGCAUGUAAGUAGGGAUGUGUUGGGGGCCUUCGUGUCCCCUCAUGUCCUGAGAGUGCCGGGAUCGCUUCUUAGACGGACUGUGCAUGUCUUUAAUGCACGGAAGAGGGAGUCAAUAGCAGGUCUGUGAUGCUCCUAGAUGUUCUGGGCUGCACGCGCACUACACUGGCACAGUAAACGAGUUGCACCUGCUUCGGCAGUCCUGCUUAGAAGUGAGCGUGGGAAAUCUUAGAAAACUGUGCCGUGCUGGGGAUAGAUGAUUGCGAUUAUUUGUCUUGAACGAGUAAUGCCUAGUAGAGGUACUUCAUCAGAGUACCUUGAUUGUGUCCCUGCCAUUUGUACACACCGCCCGUCGUUGCUACCGAUUGGCUGUAAAAUAGAGGCCUUAAGAGUCGCUUCCGCAAAGCUUUGCUUUUGAGGUUGUGACAAAUCUGGCCAAUAUUUCAUUGCUAGAGGAAGCAAAAGUCGUAACAAGG